RNAcentral lists this non-coding RNA (81 nucleotides) under Brevundimonas sp. Its description in RNAcentral is "Li+-II sequence". It matches the Rfam family "nhaA-II RNA". The record is from RNAcentral. Lineage: Bacteria; Pseudomonadati; Pseudomonadota; Alphaproteobacteria; Caulobacterales; Caulobacteraceae.
AUCAGGCCGCGCGCGCGGCCAGGCCGGCGCCCCACAGGGGGAUGAACCCGGUCCGGCGUCCGUCGAUAACCUGACGCCACG